ACGCUGGCGGCACGCCUAACACAUGCAAGUCGAACGCAGUAGCAAUACUGAGUGGCAAACGGGUGAGUAUAAUGUGGGAAUCUGCCUUUUGGUUUGGAAUAACACGGGGAAACUUGUGCUAAUACCGAAUAAGCCCUUACGGGGAAAGUUUUAAUGCCGAAAGAUGAGCCCGCACUUGAUUAGCUAGUUGGUAAGGUAAAAGCUUACCAAGGCAACGAUCAAUAGCUGAUUUGAGAGGAUGAUCAGCCACAUUGGGACUGAGACACGGCCCAAACUCCUACGGGAGGCAGCAGUGGGGAAUCUUGCACAAUGGAGGAAACUCUGAUGCAGCGAUGCCGCGUGAGUGAAGAAGGCCCUUGGGUUGUAAAGCUCUUUCGUCGGGGAAGAAAAUGACUGUACCCGAAUAAGAAGGUCCGGCUAACUUCGUGCCAGCAGCCGCGGUAAUACGAAGGGACCUAGCGUAGUUCGGAAUUACUGGGCUUAAAGAGUUCGUAGGUGGUUGAAAAAGUUAGUGGUGAAAUCCCAGAGCUUAACUCUGGAACUGCCAUUAAAACUUUUCAGCUAGAGUAUGAUAGAGGAAAGCAGAAUUUCUAGUGUAGAGGUGAAAUUCGUAGAUAUUAGAAAGAAUACCAAUUGCGAAGGCAGCUUUCUGGAUCAUUACUGACACUGAGGAACGAAAGCAUGGGUAGCGAAGAGGAUUAGAUACCCUCGUAGUCCAUGCCGUAAACGAUGUGUGUUAGACGUUGGAAAUUUAUUUUCAGUGUCGCAGGGAAACCGAUAAACACGCCGCCUGGGGAGUACGACCGCAAGGUUAAAACUCAAAUGAAUUGACGGGGACCCGCACAAGUAGUGGAGCAUGUGGUUUAAUUCGAAGAUACGCGCAGAACCUUACCAACACUUGACAUGUUCGUCGCGACUCUAAGAGAUUAGAGUUUUCGGUUCGGCCGGACGAAACACAGGUGCUGCAUGGCUGUCGUCAGCUCGUGUCGUGAGAUGUUGGGUUAAGUCCCGCAACGAGCGCAACCCUCACUUUUAGUUGCCAUCAUUAAGUUGGGCACUCUGAAAGAACUGCCAGUGAUAAGCUGGAGGAAGGUGGGGAUGACGUCAAGUCCUCAUGGCCCUUACGUGUUGGGCUACACACGUGCUACAAUGGUAUCUACAACAGGAAGCAAGACUGCGAAGUUAAGCAAAUCCCUAAAAGAUACCUCAGUUCGGAUUGCACUCUGCAACUCGAGUGCAUGAAGCUGGAAUUACUAGUAAUCGUGGAUCAGCGUGCCACGGUGAAUGCGUUCCCGGGUCUUGUACACACCGCC
RNAcentral lists this ribosomal RNA (1313 nucleotides) under uncultured Alphaproteobacteria bacterium. RNAcentral describes it as "uncultured alpha proteobacterium 16S ribosomal RNA". It matches the Rfam family "Bacterial small subunit ribosomal RNA", at positions 33 to 1394 of the family's 1533-position model. The record is from RNAcentral. Lineage: Bacteria; Pseudomonadati; Pseudomonadota; Alphaproteobacteria.